RNAcentral lists this ribosomal RNA (254 nucleotides) under uncultured bacterium. RNAcentral describes it as "partial 16S ribosomal RNA". It matches the Rfam family "Bacterial small subunit ribosomal RNA", at positions 524 to 776 of the family's 1533-position model. The record is from RNAcentral.
CGCGUAGGGGGCAAGCGUUGUCCGGAUUUAUUGGGCGUAAAGAGCUCGUAGGUGGUUCGGUAAGUCGGGUGUGAAACCUCCAGGCUCAACCUGGAGACGCCACCCGAUACUGCUGUGACUGGAGUCCGGUAGGGGAGCGUGGAAUUCCUGGUGUAGCGGUGAAAUGCGCAGAUAUCAGGAGGAACACCAAUAGCGAAGGCAGCUCGCUGGGACGUUACUGACACUAAGGCGCGAAAGCGUGGGGAGCGAACAGG